RNAcentral lists this ribosomal RNA (445 nucleotides) under uncultured bacterium. Its description in RNAcentral is "bacterial SSU rRNA". It matches the Rfam family "Bacterial small subunit ribosomal RNA", at positions 331 to 792 of the family's 1533-position model. The record is from RNAcentral.
CCAGACUCCUACGGGAGGCAGCAGUCGGGAAUAUUGCACAAUGGAGGAAACUCUGAUGCAGUGACACCGCGUAUAGGAAGAAGGUUUUCGGAUUGUAAACUAUUUUAGACAGGGAAGAAAAAAGACAGUACCUGUAGAAUAAGCUCCGGCUAACUACGUGCCAGCAGCCGCGGUAAUACGUAUGGUGCAAGCGUUAUCCGGAUUUACUGGGCGUAAAGGGAGCGCAGGCGGCGCGCCAAGUCUGAUGUGAAACCCCGGGGCUCAACCCCGGGCAUGCAUUGGAAACUGGCGGGCUGGAGUGCCGGAGAGGUAAGCGGAAUUCCUAGUGUAGCGGUGAAAUGCGUAGAUAUUAGGAGGAACACCAGUGGCGAAGGCGGCUUACUGGACGGCAACUGACGCUGAGGCUCGAAAGCGUGGGGAGCAAACAGGAUUAGAUACCCCAGUA